Molecule: ribosomal RNA, 1199 nt
Filed under: Hydatigera parva
Lineage: Eukaryota; Metazoa; Platyhelminthes; Cestoda; Cyclophyllidea; Taeniidae
Description: SSU rRNA
Rfam family: Eukaryotic small subunit ribosomal RNA
Source: RNAcentral
GUUCGGAUCGAAGUAAUGAUCAAAGAGACAGGCGGGGACGUUUGUAUGGCUGCGCUAGAGGUGAAAUUCAUGGACCGUAGCCAGACAAACUAAAGCGAAAGCAUUCGUCAAGCAUGUUUUCAUUGGCCAUGAGCGAAAGUCAGAGGCUCGAAGACGAUCAGAUACCGUCCUAGUUCUGACCAUAAACGAUGCCAACUGACGAUCCGUGGUGGUAGUCGUGUUACCUUACCCACGGGCAGUCCCCGGGAAACCUUUAAGUGUUUGGACUCCGGCGCAAGUAUGGUUGCAAAGCUGAAACUUAAAGGAAUUGACGACGGGGCACCACCAAGACCGGAUCCCACGACGUGAUUUGACUCAACUCGGCACAACCCUCCCGGGCCGGAAGGUAUGAUCAUUGACACAUUGAGAGCUCGUGCUGGACCCGGAGGUCGGAGGUGCAUCGCCGUACUUAGUUGAUGGAUCUAUUUGUGUGGUUAAUUCCGAUCACGAACUUGACUCCAGCCUGCUAAUAAGUAGGCAUUCGUCCCCUGCAUCUGUGAUGGCGGCGCCGGAUGAUACCACCGGCCACGGGUGGUGGGCUUUCACGAGAGAAACCCCACUCUCCUCUCGUCUCUCCACGCUUCGCUGCCGCCUCCGCCGUCGUCCCCACAUCGUCGUCUCCCGAUCUCUUUCUCUCGCGUGCUGCUCUCCCUCCUCCUCCCUCCUCGCUCUCCCGCUGGCAAGCGAGAAAGGGAGGAGGGCUGGAAGAGGGAAAAAGCUGAGCAGGCGAGAAAAAGAGUUUCGCGAGACUGACGAGGACGCCGACGACGACGGCGACGACUGCGAAACGGGAUAGAAAAUAGGAUAGUGGCCUCAUGAAAACCCGCCUGCCGUGGCAGGUGGUAUCCUAACCCCCCCAUCUCAGAUGCAAGGACACAAUGCACUAAGUAGCACGGGUGGAAUCCCCUUCAUUUUCGGAAUUAACCGGACUAUCUCUCCACCAACUAACAACGGCCAUGCCCCACCUAACACCAAAUCAAGAAAGAAUCAAUUUGUUGAUCCUCAAAGGUUCCGGACCGGGUGAAUUCCCGUGUUGAGGCAAAUUAAGCCGCGAAGUUCCACUCCUGGAGGGGCCAUUCCCAAAUCCUUUAAGUUUCAGCUUUGCAACCAUACUUCCCCAACCCAAACACUUAAAGGUUUCCGGGACUGCCCGUGGGGAA